GGGGGUAUAGCUCAGUUGGCUAGAGCGCUUGCAUGGCAUGCAAGAGGUCAGGGGUUCGACCCCCCUUACCUCCAC
This 75-nucleotide transfer RNA is filed under the name Syntrophorhabdus sp. PtaU1.Bin153. Its description in RNAcentral is "tRNA-Ala". It matches the Rfam family "tRNA". Rfam says of the family: Transfer RNA (tRNA) molecules are approximately 80 nucleotides in length. Lineage: Bacteria; Pseudomonadati; Thermodesulfobacteriota; Syntrophorhabdia; Syntrophorhabdales; Syntrophorhabdaceae. The record is from RNAcentral.